CAGUCGCCACGGGAAUACGUAGGGUGCGAGCGUUAAUCGGAAUUACUGGGCGUAAAGCGUGCGCAGGCGGUUUGUUAAGACAGAUGUGAAAUCCCCGGGCUCAACCUGGGAACUGCAUUUGUGACUGGCAAGCUAGAGUGUGGCAGAGGGGGGUGGAAUUCCGCGUGUAGCAGUGAAAUGCGUAGAUAUGCGGAGGAACACCGAUGGCGAAGGCAGCCCCCUGGGCCAACACUGACACUGAGGCGCGAAAGCGUGGGGAGCAAACAGGAUUAGAGACCCCAGUAGUCCCUGUCUCUUAUAC
Molecule: ribosomal RNA, 301 nt
Filed under: uncultured bacterium
Lineage: Bacteria
Description: partial 16S ribosomal RNA
Rfam family: Bacterial small subunit ribosomal RNA
Source: RNAcentral